Molecule: ribosomal RNA, 484 nt
Filed under: uncultured soil bacterium
Lineage: Bacteria
Description: bacterial SSU rRNA
Rfam family: Bacterial small subunit ribosomal RNA
Source: RNAcentral
AGGACGAACGCUGGCGGCGUGCUUAACACAUGCAAGUCGAGCGGUAAGGCCUCUUCGGGGGUACACGAGCGGCGAACGGGUGAGUAACACGUGAGUGACCUGCCCUCAGCUCUGGGAUAAGCCUGGGAAACUGGGUCUAAUACCGGAUAUGACUUGGCCUCGCAUGGGGUUGGGUGGAAAGUCCUGGGCUUUGUUGUCUGGGUUCGGCUGGGGAUGGGCCCGCGGCCUAUCAGCUUGUUGUGGGUGAUGGCUUACCAAGGCGACGACGGGUAGCCGGCCUGAGAGGGCGACGGCCACGACUGGGACUGAGACACGGCCCAGACUCCUACGGGAGGCAGCAGUGGGGAAUAUUGCGCAAUGGGCGGAAAGCCUGACGCAGCGACGCCGCGUGGGGGAUGACGGCCUCGGUUGUAAACUCUUACGUCAUCGACGAAGGACCUUCGGUUGGUACGGUAGGUGAGAAGAAGACGACGCCGAACUACGU